GUUCCCGUAGCUCAGCAGGAUAGAGCGUUCGCCUCCUAAGCGAAAGGUCUUGGGUUCGAAUCCCCACGGGAACGCCA
RNAcentral lists this transfer RNA (77 nucleotides) under Clostridiaceae bacterium. RNAcentral describes it as "tRNA-Arg". It matches the Rfam family "tRNA". From Rfam's summary of the family: Transfer RNA (tRNA) molecules are approximately 80 nucleotides in length. Lineage: Bacteria; Bacillati; Bacillota; Clostridia; Eubacteriales; Clostridiaceae. RNAcentral also lists the same sequence under 2 other names. The record is from RNAcentral.